CGGGCAGCGGCGGAGGGGGAUGGUUGUAGCAAAAAUGAGUGAUGGUGAGUGUAUGGGUGUGAAAUGUCGUCCUCAGGGGAUUGGGGGUUAUGGCACGCAAUAUGCAAUCACAAGAAACUAGGCACUAGCAUAAAGAAAUCA
Ipomoea nil (Japanese morning glory) is the source of this 141-nucleotide long non-coding RNA. RefSeq lists it as uncharacterized. The transcript has 3 exons. Lineage: Eukaryota; Viridiplantae; Streptophyta; Magnoliopsida; Solanales; Convolvulaceae. The record is from RefSeq and is a predicted model, not a curated record.